RNAcentral lists this transfer RNA (68 nucleotides) under Diaemus youngi. RNAcentral's name for it is "tRNA-His". It matches the Rfam family "tRNA". From Rfam's summary of the family: Transfer RNA (tRNA) molecules are approximately 80 nucleotides in length. Their secondary structure includes four short double-helical elements and three loops (D, anti-codon, and T loops). Lineage: Eukaryota; Metazoa; Chordata; Mammalia; Chiroptera; Phyllostomidae. The record is from RNAcentral.
GUAAUUAUAGUUUAAUGAAAACACCAGUCUGUGGGCCUGGAGACAGAAGACAAAACUUCUUACUUACC